CCUACGGGAGGCAGCAGUAGGGAAUCUUCCGCAAUGGGCGAAAGCCUGACGGAGCAACGCCGCGUGAGUGAUGAAGGUCUUCGGAUCGUAAAACUCUGUUAUCAGGGAAGAACAAAUGUGUAAGUAACUGUGCACAUCUUGACGGUACCUGAUCAGAAAGCCACGGCUAACUACGUGCCAGCAGCCGCGGUAAUACGUAGGUGGCAAGCGUUAUCCGGAAUUAUUGGGCGUAAAGCGCGCGUAGGCGGUUUUUUAAGUCUGAUGUGAAAGCCCACGGCUCAACCGUGGAGGGUCAUUGGAAACUGGAAAACUUGAGUGCAGAAGAGGAAAGUGGAAUUCCAUGUGUAGCGGUGAAAUGCGCAGAGAUAUGGAGGAACACCAGUGGCGAAGGCGACUUUCUGGUCUGUAACUGACGCUGAUGUGCGAAAGCGUGGGGAUCAAACAGGAUUAGAUACCCUGGUAGUCCACGCCGUAAACGAUGAGUGCUAAGUGUUAGGGGGUUUCCGCCCCUUAGUGCUGCAGCUAACGCAUUAAGCACUCCGCCUGGGGAGUACGACCGCAAGGUUGAAACUCAAAUGAAUUGACGG
Molecule: ribosomal RNA, 587 nt
Filed under: uncultured bacterium
Lineage: Bacteria
Description: bacterial SSU rRNA
Rfam family: Bacterial small subunit ribosomal RNA
Source: RNAcentral